RNAcentral lists this unclassified non-coding RNA (203 nucleotides) under Hevea brasiliensis (rubber tree). Lineage: Eukaryota; Viridiplantae; Streptophyta; Magnoliopsida; Malpighiales; Euphorbiaceae. The record is from RNAcentral.
CAAAGGCGCUUAACUUUAUUAACCCUGAAGAAAUCGGUUCAAUGCUAUCAAUAUACACUGCAUUGAAAGUUCAUCAGGGUUAAUAAAGUUAAGCGCCUUUGACAUGGCAAUAAACACCUCUUUAGUGACUCGAUCAGGAACUCCCUGCUUUCUCAUCCAAUCUUGAACAGUCAAACCAUCUUGAGCCUCAACAUAAGCCUGUC